UACGAAGGGGGCUAGCGUUGCUCGGAAUCACUGGGCGUAAAGCGCACGUAGGCGGCUUUUUAAGUCAGGGGUGAAAUCCUGGAGCUCAACUCCAGAACUGCCUUUGAUACUGGGAAGCUUGAGUCCGGAAGAGGUGAGUGGAGCUCCGAGUGUAGAGGUGAAAUUCGUAGAUAUUCGGAAGAACACCAGUGGCGAAGGCGGCUCUCUGGGACGGUACUGACGCUGAGACGCGAAAGCGUGGGGAGCGAACAGG
This 253-nucleotide ribosomal RNA is filed under the name uncultured bacterium. RNAcentral's name for it is "partial 16S ribosomal RNA". It matches the Rfam family "Bacterial small subunit ribosomal RNA", at positions 524 to 776 of the family's 1533-position model. The record is from RNAcentral.